This 468-nucleotide ribosomal RNA is filed under the name uncultured bacterium. Its description in RNAcentral is "partial 16S ribosomal RNA". It matches the Rfam family "Bacterial small subunit ribosomal RNA", at positions 28 to 507 of the family's 1533-position model. The record is from RNAcentral.
GACGAACGCUGGCGGCGUGCUUAACACAUGCAAGUCGAACGGAAAGGCCCUGCUUUUGUGGGGUGCUCGAGUGGCGAACGGGUGAGUAACACGUGAGUAACCUGCCCUUUACUUUGGGAUAACUUCAGGAAACUGGGGCUAAUACCGGAUAGGAGCUCCUGCUGCAUGGUGGGGGUUGGAAAGUUUCGGCGGUUGUGGAUGGACUCGCGGCUUAUCAGCUUGUUGGUGGGGUAGUGGCUGACCAAGGCUUUGACGGAUAGCCGGCAUGAGAGCGUGGCCGGCGACAAUGGGACUGAGAGACGGAGCAGACGGGUACGGGAGGCAGCAGGGGAGAGUAUGACACAGUGGGGCGAAGCCUGAGGCAGAGACGCUGCGAGCGGGAUGACGGGCUUCGGGGUGUAAACCGCUUUCGCCUGUGACGAAGCGUGAGUGACGGUAAUGGGUAAAGAAGCACCGGCUAACUACGUG